UAACACAUGCAAGUCGAGGGGAAACGACAUCGAAAGCUUGCUUUUGAUGGGCGUCGACCGGCGCACGGGUGAGUAACGCGUAUCCAACCUGCCCACCACUUGGGGAUAACCUUGCGAAAGUAAGACUAAUACCCAAUGAUAUCUCUAGAAGACAUCUGAAAGAGAUUAAAGAUUUAUCGGUGAUGGAUGGGGAUGCGUCUGAUUAGCUUGUUGGCGGGGUAACGGCCCACCAAGGCGACGAUCAGUAGGGGUUCUGAGAGGAAGGUCCCCCACAUUGGAACUGAGACACGGUCCAAACUCCUACGGGAGGCAGCAGUGAGGAAUAUUGGUCAAUGGACGAGAGUCUGAACCAGCCAAGUAGCGUGCAGGAUGACGGCCCUAUGGGUUGUAAGCUGCUUUCAUAAGGGAAUAAAGUGAGUCUCGUGAGACUUUUUGCAUGUACCUUAUGAAUAAGGACCGGCUAA
This 464-nucleotide ribosomal RNA is filed under the name uncultured Bacteroidales bacterium. RNAcentral describes it as "bacterial SSU rRNA". It matches the Rfam family "Bacterial small subunit ribosomal RNA", at positions 49 to 500 of the family's 1533-position model. The record is from RNAcentral. Lineage: Bacteria; Pseudomonadati; Bacteroidota; Bacteroidia; Bacteroidales.